Long non-coding RNA from Acanthopagrus latus (yellowfin seabream), 351 nucleotides. RefSeq lists it as uncharacterized. The transcript is spliced from 3 exons. The record is from RefSeq and is a predicted model, not a curated record. Lineage: Eukaryota; Metazoa; Chordata; Actinopteri; Spariformes; Sparidae.
UGAGUGUCCGGCUGUCAGUCGGCUUGGCUGAGGUCUGCAGCGCGUCAAGGACAGAAUGAGAAUGACAAUCAGACUGACCUCUUUUAAGCCCUCACAGGAGGGUGUUUGUCAGACCCUGGUUGGCCGUGAGAGGGAUGCCCCAAGCUGCUAUCGCUCCGUUAAUUAGGAGCCGCUCGUCACCACCUGCACAAAGGACCUGGGAAAGUGAAGAUGACUGUUCACAAUGAAGAACUAAAACUUUAAGGUCGGGAAAAGAGUGGAUGAGUCAAUGGAGCUAACAGAGGAGACGGCUGGGGUGGAGAGAGGCCGGAGGAGGAGGAGAGGAGGAGGUGGAGGUGGAGGAAGAGGAGG